Scophthalmus maximus (turbot) is the source of this 293-nucleotide long non-coding RNA. RefSeq lists it as uncharacterized. The record is from RefSeq and is a predicted model, not a curated record. NCBI's taxonomy places the organism in Eukaryota, Metazoa, Chordata, Actinopteri, Pleuronectiformes, Scophthalmidae. The transcript is spliced from 2 exons.
UAAUCAGAUACCCAAACCACCUCAACUGGCUCCUUGUGACAUGAAGGACCAGUGGCUCCUCUCCGAGCUCCCGCCGGAUGUUACUCACGGUAUCCUAUCUCUAAGUUUGAGCCCAGACGCAUUGACCUUACGGACACAACCCCGCAUUCCAGGCUGCUUCCCACCCGCCUGCAAACCGCCGCACUGCACACUGAAGGGUACACUGGACUUUCCUAUGCGAAAGGAACGGAGAAUUAUACGCCCCACAAUUCAUUGCUGCAGUGAUGCACGGACGUACGAUUAAAUCCGAAGUA